RNAcentral lists this ribosomal RNA (255 nucleotides) under uncultured bacterium. Its description in RNAcentral is "partial 16S ribosomal RNA". It matches the Rfam family "Bacterial small subunit ribosomal RNA", at positions 1244 to 1500 of the family's 1533-position model. The record is from RNAcentral.
AAGAAGCAAGAGAGCGANCUGGAGCAAACUCUAAAAACAAUCUCAGUUCAGAUUGCAGGCUGCAACUCGCCUGCAUGAAGUCGGAAUUGCUAGUAAUCGUAGGUCAGCAUACUACGGUGAAUACGUUCCCGGGCCUUGUACACACCGCCCGUCAAACCAUGAGAGUUGGCAACACCCGAAGUCGGUAGUCUAACCGCAAGGAGGACGCCGCCGAAGGUGGGGUUGAUGAUUAGGGUUAAGUCGUAACAAGGUACC